AAAGGUAACGGGAUAACAUUAAAUUUGAAACUCUUUUUAAUUAUUUGAAGCAAGUAAUUUGGAUUGGAGGGUGGUUGCAUAACUGAAGACCUCAAUCUUCUGGACACAUCAGCAAUACUGCACAUGGAACCGAGAAUACUUACCAGAUGGACGAUUCAUUGUUAGUGCUGAUCGGGAUUUUAAAAUUCGUUAUGAAUUUAUUAUUAGUUGGAUCUUUAUCUGCCCGGGCCAAGCAACUUCAGCCCCAUGAGUACAAUUCAGGGACUUUCACUCUU
Non-coding RNA from Camellia sinensis, 275 nucleotides. NCBI's taxonomy places the organism in Eukaryota, Viridiplantae, Streptophyta, Magnoliopsida, Ericales, Theaceae. The record is from RefSeq and is a predicted model, not a curated record.